CUCAGGAUGAACGCUGGCGGCGUGCCUAAUACAUGCAAGUCGAGCGAACGGACAGGAGUGCUUGCACUCCUUGAAGUUAGCGGCGGACGGGUGAGUAACACGUGGGUAACCUACCUAUAAGACUGGGAUAACUUCGGGAAACCGGAGCUAAUACCGGAUAAUAUAUACCUCCGCAUGGAGGAAUAGUCAAAGACGGUUCUGCUGUCACUUAUAGAUGGACCCGCGGUGUAUUAGCUAGUUGGUGAGGUAACGGCUCACCAAGGCAACGAUACAUAGCCGACCUGAGAGGGUGAUCGGCCACACUGGGACUGAGACACGGCCCAGACUCCUACGGGAGGCAGCAGUAGGGAAUCUUCCGCNAUGGACGAAAGUCUGACGGAGCAACGCCGCGUGAGUGAAGAAGGUUUUCGGAUCGUAAAACUCUGUUGUAAGGNNAGAACAAGUACGUUAGUAAACUGAACGUACCUGACG
This 471-nucleotide ribosomal RNA is filed under the name Macrococcoides caseolyticum. RNAcentral's name for it is "bacterial SSU rRNA". It matches the Rfam family "Bacterial small subunit ribosomal RNA", at positions 23 to 484 of the family's 1533-position model. The record is from RNAcentral. Lineage: Bacteria; Bacillati; Bacillota; Bacilli; Caryophanales; Staphylococcaceae.